This 276-nucleotide long non-coding RNA is filed under the name Gossypium raimondii (Peruvian cotton). RNAcentral describes it as "long non-coding RNA (GRAI_LNC000395)". The record is from RNAcentral. Lineage: Eukaryota; Viridiplantae; Streptophyta; Magnoliopsida; Malvales; Malvaceae.
UUCACUAUGAGUGUACUUCCUCAGCUCGGGUCUCACAGCCUGUACAGUUUUGAUCAGAUGAUGGCACCUCGAGGGGUUGAGAUCCUUGGCAUUGUAGAUCCCUUGUAAGUUUUCAACUUCAUUUUAUUUAUUGUGCUUGUCAAGGUGCAAUUUUGAUUGUGAGAGAAGCCAAUUCAGUCAAUCACAUUUUCCAGGAAGCUACCAAGGACAAAAGAAAAAACAAAAACAACACCCCAAAAUAAAGUAGAUCUGUAUUCAUUGAAUUUUAAAUCUCAC